CUGCGAAUGGCUCAUUAUAUAAGUUAUCGUUUAUUUGAUAGUACCUUACUACUUGGAUAACCGUGGUAAUUCUAGAGCUAAUACAUGCUGAAAAUCCCGACUUUGGAAGGGAUGUAUUUAUUAGAUUCAAAACCAAUGCCCCCUGGGCUCCUUGGUGAUUCAUGAUAACUUUUCGAAUCGCACGGCCUUGCGCCGGCGAUGGUUCAUUCAAAUUUCUUCCCUAUCAACUUUCGAUGUUUGGGUAUUGGCCAAACAUGGUCGCAACGGGUAACGGAGGGUUAGGGCUCGACCCCGGAGAAGGAGCCUGAGAAACGGCUACUACAUCCAAGGAAGGCAGCAGGCGCGCAAAUUACCCAAUCCCGAUUCGGGGAGGUAGUGACAAUAAAUACUGAUACAGGGCUCUUUUGGGUCUUGUAAUUGGAAUGAGUACAAUUUAAAUCCCUUAACGAGGAACAAUUGGAGGGCAAGUCUGGUGCCAGCAGCCGCGGUAAUUCCAGCUCCAAUAGCGUAUAUUAAAGUUGUUGUGGUUAAAAAGCUCGUAGUUGAACCUUGGGCCUGGCUGGCCGGUCCGCCUCACCGCGUGUACUGGUCCGGCCGGGCCUUUCCCUCUGUGGAACCUCAUGCCCUUCACUGGGUGUGGCGGGGAAACAGGACGUUUACUUUGAAAAAAUUAGAGUGCUCCAGGCAGGCCUAUGCUCGAAUACAUUAGCAUGGAAUAAUGAAAUAGGACGUGUGGUUCUAUUUUGUUGGUUUCUAGGACCGCCGUAAUGAUUAAUAGGGACAGUCGGGGGCAUCAGUAUUCAAUUGUCAGAGGUGAAAUUCUUAGAUUUAUUGAAGACUAACUACUGCGAAAGCAUUUGCCAAGGAUGUUUUCAUUAAUCAGGAACGAAAGUUAGGGGAUCGAAGACGAUCAGAUACCGUCGUAGUCUUAACCAUAAACUAUGCCGACUAGGGAUCGGACGAUGUUAUUUUUUGACGCGUUCGGCACCUUACGAGAAAUCAAAGUGC
RNAcentral lists this ribosomal RNA (1008 nucleotides) under Beauveria loeiensis. Its description in RNAcentral is "SSU rRNA". It matches the Rfam family "Eukaryotic small subunit ribosomal RNA", at positions 87 to 1106 of the family's 1831-position model. The record is from RNAcentral. Lineage: Eukaryota; Fungi; Ascomycota; Sordariomycetes; Hypocreales; Cordycipitaceae.